Molecule: ribosomal RNA, 439 nt
Filed under: uncultured bacterium
Lineage: Bacteria
Description: partial 16S ribosomal RNA
Rfam family: Bacterial small subunit ribosomal RNA
Source: RNAcentral
CCUACGGGGGGCUGCAGUGGGGAAUAUUGCACAAUGGGCGAAAGCCUGAUGCAGCAACGCCGCGUGAGCGAUGAAGGCCUUCGGGUCGUAAAGCUCUGUCCUCAAGGAAGAUAAUGACGGUACUUGAGCAGGAAGCCACGGCUAACUACGUGCCAGCAGCCGCGGUAAUACGUAGGCGGCUAUCGUUAUACGGAAUUACUGGGCGUAAAGGGUGCGUAGGUGGUUGCUUAAGUCAGAGGUGAAAGGCUAGGGCUCAACCGUAGUAAGCCUUUGAAACUGGGAAACUUGAGAGCAGGAGAGGUGAGUGGAAUUCGUGGUGUAGCGGUGAAAUGCGUAGAUAUUAGGAGGAACACCAGUUGCGAAGGCGGCUCUCUGGACUGUAACUGACACUGAGGCACGAAAGCGUGGGGAGCAAACAGGAUUAGAUACCCUAGUAGUC